UACGUAGGGUGCAAGCGUUGUCCGGAAUUAUUGGGCGUAAAGAGCUCGUAGGCGGUCUGUCGCGUCGGCUGUGAAAACCCGAGGCUCAACCUCGGGCCUGCAGUCGAUACGGGCAAACUAGAGUACUGCAGGGGAGACUGGAAUUCCUGGUGUAGCGGUGAAAUGCGCAGAUAUCGGGAGGAACACCUAUGGCGAAGGCAGCUCGCUGGGACGGUACUGACGCUGAGACGCGAAAGCGUGGGGAGCGAACAGG
This 253-nucleotide ribosomal RNA is filed under the name uncultured bacterium. RNAcentral describes it as "partial 16S ribosomal RNA". It matches the Rfam family "Bacterial small subunit ribosomal RNA", at positions 524 to 776 of the family's 1533-position model. The record is from RNAcentral.